Molecule: ribosomal RNA, 526 nt
Filed under: Bacillus sp. SAR 25
Lineage: Bacteria; Bacillati; Bacillota; Bacilli; Caryophanales; Bacillaceae
Description: bacterial SSU rRNA
Rfam family: Bacterial small subunit ribosomal RNA
Source: RNAcentral
AGCUGGAAUCCCGCCUGGGGAGUACGGCCGCAAGGCUGAAACUCAAAGGAAUUGACGGGGGCCCGCACAAGCGCAAGACCGCAAGUUCGGAUGUGGAGCAUGUGUUCGAAGCAACGCGAAGAACCUUACCAGGUCUUGACAUCCUCUGAAAACCCUAGAGAUAGGAGCAGAGUGACAGGUGGUGCAUGGUUGUCGUCAGCUCGUGUCGUGAGGUUUAAAUGUUGGGUUAAGUCCCGCAACGAGCGCAACCCUUGAUCUUAGUUGCCAUCAUUAAGUUGGGCACUCUAAGGUGACUGCCGGUGACAAACCGGAGGAAGGUGGAUAGGAUGACGUCAAAUCAUCAUGCCCCUUAUGACCUGGGCUACACACGUGCUACAAUUACGGACGGUACAAAGAGCUGGCGAGGUGGAGCUAAUCUCAUAAAACAACUCGCCUACAUGAGCUAGUAAUCGCGGAUCAGCGGUGAAUACGUUCCCGGGCCUUGUACACACCGCCCGUCACACCACGAGAGUUUGUAACACCGUCG